UAUAUUUGCCGCCUGAUUACCAAAGCGGUAAUCUGUACAUAAAAAAUCAUUUAAAAUAAUAUUGGCAUG
RNAcentral lists this non-coding RNA (69 nucleotides) under unclassified sequences. RNAcentral describes it as "S15-Flavobacteria ribosomal protein leader". It matches the Rfam family "S15-Flavobacteria ribosomal protein leader". The record is from RNAcentral.